CAAACUCCGAACAUCAAUCAUCCUUCAAUUCAAUUCAAUCUUAUUUUCGAACAUUCCUCGUAAUCGCGUUAAUGGAGAUCACUCCAUUUUCGAUUAGAUUCAAGCUCUACGAUCAACUCGAGCUUCUGGAGUUUCCCAAUAAGUUCUUCAUCAAACCAGUAGAUUCGCAUCAUCAAGGCUUCUCCGUCGAUCGCCGCGACGGCAACAUCAAACCUCUCGACGGAAAAUUAUUUAGGACAUGAAUCUGUAUUUCAUUUCGCGAGCUGUUGUGCCAGCUGUUGUGUUUGAUGUGACUAUUCAGUUGGUCUAUUUUGCCAGAAUAGCUUCUCACUUCUUCUUCUCAGAUAGAUCUUUGAGUAUUGCCAGCCUCACCACCCAUCUGGCAUGAUCCCUCGCCGAUCGUUUUAGCCUCUUCGUGUUAUUCACCGGCACCACUGUUGAUUUCACCUUUUUGAUCCACCGGCGAACUUCUUCACCCGUCUGAACCUCGAUACAGCUUCUAUAGCCGCGUCAACCGCAUACCAAUCGUCAAAAUCUUUGCUUUUUUCUUUUUUUUUCUUGUUUUGUUUUUGGAUUUCUCGUUUUGAAUGAGUUAUGGAACCACUGGAGAAUUGUGGUGGCUGUGGCUGUGAAGAAGCGAUGUUCAAGACGGUGGAGAAGAUAUAUUCAACAAUAAACCAAUUCUUCAGAAUGCGAGGAAGUAGAUCUGUAUUUGCAAGCUGUCAUCGGCCAACUUUCGAAUAGGAGAAGGUUCGAGGUGGCUAUGUUGGUGUUCAUGCUUCGAAGAGAAAAUGAGAUUGAUUUGUUGGAAGUGAUAUGCAUUUCAUGGAAGAUCAAAACCUUAUUUAUAGAUCAAGGUUUCAUGCCGUUUAUGGAGUAAUGAAGGGUCUUGAAUGCACGAUAGUGGGGGAGAGUGGGGUAAAGACUUUAGUGCAUUUUUCUUUGAAGGCGGUGACUAUGUUCCGUAUGGGCUAAUAACGAUGGGCCUGUUAUGUAGUUUAGUUAUUAUAGAAAUCCAUUAGUAGAGACAUCAAUCAAUGAAACCGAAAGAGUGAUUUUUGGCAAAA
This is a long non-coding RNA of Brassica rapa (field mustard), 1067 nucleotides long. RefSeq lists it as uncharacterized. The record is from RefSeq and is a predicted model, not a curated record. NCBI's taxonomy places the organism in Eukaryota, Viridiplantae, Streptophyta, Magnoliopsida, Brassicales, Brassicaceae.